CAGCAGGCAAGGCUAAUCCAAACCAACAGAGUGCACUCUUGCAUCAAAAAAUGAAAUGCUAAUCUAUUGUAGAGAAGUUCUUUGUGCCUGUUCCUCCCAGGCUAAGAGUGAGAGCAGCAACACAGAAACUCUUGUUUCCAGAAAAAAAACAUACUCUUGUUUUUUAAAUCCAUCUCUCUCCUCUCCUGCUCCUGGCAGAGUCACCUGAUGCAGGGGGUGGAGGAGCUUGUUGGGUGUUCAGCUCCUGGCCUGCCUCGGAGCUUGGUCUUUGCAAGGACAGCAGGGUAGAAGUGAGUUCUCCUUUUGCUAGGCAUGGUGCCUGGUCCCUUCACACUUGAAAGACCCCCAAAGGUGGUGUCUCAUCCACACGUCCGACCCCUUUGGACCAUCCCAGGCAAAGAGCUCAAGGCUGAUGGAGAGAAAGAGUGCUGCUGGGCUUGGAAAUGUGGAUACGUGUGCCCCAGGAACACGUGCUUUGAUGUUGUCUCUGGAAGAGUAUGCAAAUUUUAUCCUCAUCUGUGGUAAAGAAGGGAUGACAAGUAAUAUUUCUUAUAGACAGAGAUAAGGUGGCUGAAUUUCAAGAGCAGAGAGGAAGAAAUGAGUGAAAAGGUGUAGAGAAGUCUGGAUUACAUUCUUAAACUGUGAGGGAGACAAAAUUAAAGCUUUUAAAUAGAUUUGCCUUGAAAGUUCUCAAGAAGGCGGGCUGGAGGUUCUCAAAAUGGAGCUAACGUUCUCCAGGCUGAGCAGCAGUUGGGGAUGCUCAAAGCAUAGAAUCACAGAAUCAUUAAGGUUGGAAAAGACCACUAAGAUCAUCUAGUCCAACCAUCAACCCAUCAGCACCACUCCCACCACGCGACUCCGUGGGUCUGAAACGUUUGCUAGAACAUGGGAUUAAGGAUGGCAGAGAGAUUUGUGAACGAUAUUUUGCCAUGGUGAUUUCACAUUUUAUCACAGCCUCCACAGACUUUGCCUGAAGACCAUGGCAUUUUGCUGUCUUUUUGAAUAUUUACUUUUUUUACUGUCAAUAUUUAACUUCCUGGUGUGAUUUUGCAUACCAAACGCCCAAGACUCAAGUUGACAUUUUCAUCAGACCAUUCUGAUGGCAAACUAAUGGGCACAAAAUCC
This is a long non-coding RNA of Gallus gallus (chicken), 1125 nucleotides long. The record is from Ensembl. Lineage: Eukaryota; Metazoa; Chordata; Aves; Galliformes; Phasianidae.